This 427-nucleotide ribosomal RNA is filed under the name uncultured beta proteobacterium. RNAcentral describes it as "partial 16S ribosomal RNA". It matches the Rfam family "Bacterial small subunit ribosomal RNA", at positions 355 to 774 of the family's 1533-position model. The record is from RNAcentral. Lineage: Bacteria; Pseudomonadati; Pseudomonadota; Betaproteobacteria.
UGGGGAAUUUUGGACAAUGGGGGCAACCCUGAUCCAGCAAUGCCGCGUGAGUGAAGAAGGCCUUCGGGUUGUAAAGCUCUUUCGGUCGGGAAGAAGGGAUUGGCGUUAAUAGCGUCGAGACUUGACGGUACCGACAAAAGAAGCACCGGCUAACUACGUGCCAGCAGCCGCGGUAAUACGUAGGGUGCAAGCGUUAAUCGGAAUUACUGGGCGUAAAGGGUGCGCAGGCGGCUCUGUAAGUCAGAUGUGAAAGCCCCGGGCUUAACCUGGGAAUUGCGUUUGAAACUAUAGAGCUAGAGUGCAGUAGAGGGAGGUGGAAUUCCAUGUGUAGCAGUGAAAUGCGUAGAUAUAUGGAGGAACAUCGAUGGCGAAGGCAGCCUCCUGGACUGACACUGACGCUCAUGCACGAAAGCGUGGGGAGCAAACA